GACGAACGCUGGCGGCGUGCCUAAUACAUGCAAGUAGAACGCACAGUUUAUGCCGUAGCUUGCUACACCAUAAACUGUGAGUUGCGAACGGGUGAGUAACGCGUAGGUAACCUGCCUGGUAGCGGGGGAUAACUAUUGGAAACGAUAGCUAAUACCGCAUAAUAUUGAUUAUUGCAUGAUAAUUGAUUGAAAGAUGCUAUUGCAUCACUACCAGAUGGACCUGCGUUGUAUUAGCUAGUAGGUGAGGUAACGGCUCACCUAGGCGACGAUACAUAGCCGACCUGAGAGGGUGAUCGGCCACCCUGGGACUGAGACACGGCCCAGACUCCUACGGGAGGCAGCAGUAGGGAAUCUUCGGCAAUGGACGAAAGUCUGACCGAGCAACGCCGCGUGAGUGAAGAAGGUUUUCGGAUCGUAAAGCUCUGUUGUAAGAGAAGAACGGGUGUGAGAGUGGAAAGUUCACACUGUGACGGUAUCUUACCAGAAAGGGACGGCUAACUACGUG
This 505-nucleotide ribosomal RNA is filed under the name uncultured bacterium. RNAcentral's name for it is "partial 16S ribosomal RNA". It matches the Rfam family "Bacterial small subunit ribosomal RNA", at positions 28 to 507 of the family's 1533-position model. The record is from RNAcentral.